This 406-nucleotide long non-coding RNA is filed under the name Homo sapiens (human). RNAcentral describes it as "HSALNT0302480". The record is from RNAcentral. Lineage: Eukaryota; Metazoa; Chordata; Mammalia; Primates; Hominidae.
GCGGCUGUGGCCCACGAUUCAGGCUGGAGUGCAGUGGUACAAAAACAGCUCACUGCAGCCUUGACCUCCUGGCCUCAAGAGAUCCGCCCACGUCAGCUUCCUGAGUAGCUGGGACCACAGGCAUGUGGUCUUGAUCUCCUGGGCUCAAGCAAUUCCUCUGCCUCAGCCUCCAGAAAUGUUUGGAUUACAGAUGUGAACCACUGCACCUAGUCUUAAGGUAUUUUUAACUAAGAGACAUGGUCUUGCUGUAUUGCCCUCAAACUCCUGGCCUCAAGUGAUCCUCCUGCCUCGGCUUCCCAAAUUACAGGCUGGACUUCAUGUGGUAUAGCAUUUCUUAAAAGUCUCAAAGAAGUCAACUCUGUAAUAUAAAGUCCUCAUAUGAAUUGAUUCUAAGUUGUAGUCAGCC